Molecule: long non-coding RNA, 213 nt
Filed under: Elaeis guineensis (African oil palm)
Lineage: Eukaryota; Viridiplantae; Streptophyta; Magnoliopsida; Arecales; Arecaceae
Description: long non-coding RNA (EGUI_LNC017591)
Source: RNAcentral
CUUAAUGGUGCAUCUACAACAAACUCUGAAUUUGAUCCAAUCAAAUUUGAUUCUAUGGGUUCACUAGAUUGUGUCGGUUCUUCGACUCAUCGAACUUCAUCAAGCUCGACUUUAGAAGCACUAACUCUUUCACUAGAGAAUUUUUUUUCUAAAAAGUGUGCUUUAUUGCUAAUGAAUAUUUUCUAUUCAUCAGCAAGGUAGAAGUAAUACCCC